CCUACGGGGGUCAGCAGUGGGGAAUAUUGGACAAUGGGCGAAAGCCUGAUCCAGCCAUGCCGCGUGUGUGAAGAAGGCCUUCGGGUUGUAAAGCACUUUCAGUGGGGAAGAAAGCCUUGGGGCUAAUACCCUCGAGGAAGGACAUCACCCACAGAAGAAGCACCGGCUAACUCCGUGCCAGCAGCCGCGGUAAUACGGAGGGUGCGAGCGUUAAUCGGAAUUACUGGGCGUAAAGCGCGCGUAGGCGGUCUGAUAAGCCGGUUGUGAAAGCCCCGGGCUCAACCUGGGAACGGCAUCCGGAACUGUCAGGCUAGAGUGCAGGAGAGGAAGGUAGAAUUCCCGGUGUAGCGGUGAAAUGCGUAGAGAUCGGGAGGAAUACCAGUGGCGAAGGCGGCCUUCUGGACUGACACUGACGCUGAGGUGCGAAAGCGUGGGUAGCAAACAGGAUUAGAUACCGUGUAGUC
Molecule: ribosomal RNA, 464 nt
Filed under: Vreelandella stevensii
Lineage: Bacteria; Pseudomonadati; Pseudomonadota; Gammaproteobacteria; Oceanospirillales; Halomonadaceae
Description: partial 16S ribosomal RNA
Rfam family: Bacterial small subunit ribosomal RNA
Source: RNAcentral